AAUAAUUGAGCCCAUUUAUUUGGCCAAUUUAUUGAUACAAAAAAUAGGGAUAUUAUCUUUAUUUUAGAGAUAUUAUCAUCAAUUAGGGAUUUGAUCCUAAUCAAAAUCCCUAUUUGACUCAAUCUCUAUAUUUUGGGGAAAGAGUACCUUCUUUCUAAAUAGGAAGAUAUUCUUUGAAAAACCCUAGAUGGCUAGAACCCUAUAAAUACAUGGCUACAUUCAACACAUAAAGUAAAUAAAAAACCUAGCCCUAAAACCCCCUAAAAGCUCUCUCUCUCUCUUUCUCUCCCUUAGUCGAUGACCAC
This 305-nucleotide long non-coding RNA is filed under the name Prunus persica (peach). RNAcentral describes it as "long non-coding RNA (PPER_LNC006755)". The record is from RNAcentral. Lineage: Eukaryota; Viridiplantae; Streptophyta; Magnoliopsida; Rosales; Rosaceae.